Molecule: ribosomal RNA, 491 nt
Filed under: uncultured bacterium
Lineage: Bacteria
Description: partial 16S ribosomal RNA
Rfam family: Bacterial small subunit ribosomal RNA
Source: RNAcentral
AGUGAACGCUGGCGGUAGGCCUAACACAUGCAAGUCGAACGGCAGCACAGUAAGAGCUUGCUCUUACGGGUGGCGAGUGGCGGACGGGUGAGGAAUACAUCGGAAUCUACUUUUUCGUGGGGGAUAACGUAGGGAAACUUACGCUAAUACCGCAUACGACCUACGGGUGAAAGCAGGGGAUCUUCGGACCUUGCGCGAUUGAAUGAGCCGAUGUCGGAUUAGCUAGUUGGCGGGGUAAAGGCCCACCAAGGCGACGAUCCGUAGCUGGUCUGAGAGGAUGACAGGCCAAACUGAAACGGAGAAACGGUCAAGAUCCCUAGGGGAGGAAGAAGUGGGGAAUAUUGGACAAUGGGGGCAGGCCUGAUCAGCCAUACCGCGUGGGUGAAGAAGGCCUUCGGGUUGUAAAGCCCUUUUGUUGGGAAAGAAAAGCAGCAGGUUAAUACCCCGCUGUUCUGACGGUACCCAAAGAAUAAGCACCGGCUAACUUCGUG